CUACGGGAUGCUGCAGUGGGGAAUAUUGCACAAUGGGGGAAACCCUGAUGCAGCGAUGCCGCGUGAACGAAGAAGGCUUUCGAGUCGUAAAGUUCUGUUCUUAGGGAAGAAAAUGACGGUACCUAAGGAGAAAGCACCGGCUAAAUACGUGCCAGCAGCCGCGGUAAUACGUAUGGUGCAAGCGUUGUCCGGAAUUACUGGGCGUAAAGAGUUCGUAGGCGGUCAAAUAAGUCAGGAGUGAAAGGCUACGGCUCAACCGUAGUGAGCUUUUGAAACUGUUUGACUUGAGUACUGGAGAGGAAAGUGGAAUUCCUAGUGUAGCGGUGAAAUGCGUAGAUAUUAGGAGGAACACCAGUGGCGAAGGCGGCUUUCUGGACAGUAACUGACGCUGAGGAACGAAAGCGUGGGGAGCAAACAGGAUUAGAUACCCGCGUAGUC
RNAcentral lists this ribosomal RNA (438 nucleotides) under uncultured bacterium. RNAcentral's name for it is "partial 16S ribosomal RNA". It matches the Rfam family "Bacterial small subunit ribosomal RNA", at positions 339 to 795 of the family's 1533-position model. The record is from RNAcentral.